RNAcentral lists this long non-coding RNA (739 nucleotides) under Capsella grandiflora. Its description in RNAcentral is "long non-coding RNA (CGRA_LNC000535)". Lineage: Eukaryota; Viridiplantae; Streptophyta; Magnoliopsida; Brassicales; Brassicaceae. The record is from RNAcentral.
GACCUUUUUUGUAGGAUUUUAACAUUUUUAACUAAUUUAUAUAUAUGAUAUCUUUAGUUAAACUUAUGUCCAAAUUUGUUUUGGUAGAUACAAAAAUAGCUUUCAGUUUUCAAUUCCUAUAUAUAGACAUAGGCUUUUUAGAAACUUUUAAACAAAAAUUCAGAACAUAUAAAGUGUAGGGAAGUUCUAUUAAUCAUUUUCAUAAAAUGUUGGAUAGUAGUUGGGCGAACGAAUGUUUAAAAUGCUUAAAUAUCUUCAACCAAAUUAUUCAAUAAAGAUUAAGUAAAGUACAAGCACCAGUAAAAACAUAUAUAUGAUGUAAGAAAUGGAAUAAUUUAGAAACUUAUUCUCAUGGAAAGAGUCAUAAUAAACAAAAAAAUAUAUCCAGAGUAAAAUAAAUAAAAAGUAAUAAUAAUACAACCUUAACAGUAAAAUUCAAAGCAAAGUAUUUUUUUUAUUAAAGCUGAGAAAAAAAGAGCAACGUAAACAGUACUCUGAGAAGUGAUAACAAUAGAUUUGAAGUGAAAUUAUACAAUUGUCACUCAACCAACUCCAAAUAAACAACAUUAUAUAUGUAAAAUGUGGCUCAAGGCCAAGGCCUAGGACUAGGAGCCAUGCAAUGUUCUGAAUCUAGUUGUGAGCUAGUCAACUAGUCUUUGUAAAUUAAAACAUCUUUGGUCUUAACAUUAAAACCGAAAAAUAAAACUAGCCUUUGUACAUAGUUGUAUGUUUUUGAGUU